This 497-nucleotide ribosomal RNA is filed under the name uncultured bacterium. RNAcentral describes it as "partial 16S ribosomal RNA". It matches the Rfam family "Bacterial small subunit ribosomal RNA", at positions 28 to 507 of the family's 1533-position model. The record is from RNAcentral.
GAUGAACGCUGGCGGCGUGCCUAAUACAUGCAAGUCGAGCGAACGGACGAGAAGCUUGCUUCUCUGAUGUUAGCGGCGGACGGGUGAGUAACACGUGGAUAACCUACCUAUAAGACUGGGAUAACUUCGGGAAACCGGAGCUAAUACCGGAUAAUAUUUUGAACCGCAUGGUUCAAAAGUGAAAGACGGUCUUGCUGUCACUUAUAGAUGGAUCCGCGCUGCAUUAGCUAGUUGGUAAGGUAACGGCUUACCCAGGCAACGAUGCAUAGCCGACCUGAGAGGGUGAUAGGCCACACUGGAACUGAGACACGGUCCAGACUCCUACGGGAGGCAACAGUAGGGAAUCUUCCGCAAUGGGCGAAAGCCUGACGGAGCAACGCCGCGUGAGUGAUGAAGGUCUUCGGAUCGUAAAAAUCUGUUAUUAGGGAAGAACAUAUGUGUAAGUAACUGUGCACAUCUUGACGGUACCUAAUCAGAAAGCCACGGCUAACUACGUG